CCGUCAGGUCGCUACUUUACGCAAUUUUGAGGUGGCAACCCUGGGUGUGUGGCGGCUGUGAGGGGACAAGGCUGUGUGAAAGUGAGGGCGGCUGUAUGGCGGCGGCUGCUGUAGGGGUGAGCACGGCACCAUGGACCUUAAGGACAUUAUCAUCAGCGGUAUCUCCGUCGUCGCCUCCGUCUGCCUCGUUGUCAUCUUCGUGGCCUUCGGUUGGUAUGUUGUGUGGUGGCUUUUCCUAUCGAGAUUCAAGUUUAUUCGUGAAAUUCUAGGAAAUCACCAGAAUGGAAGCCCCUCAUUAGAGGAACUGAGACAAGCUCGGCUUCGCUCGUCUCGGAAAACACGACGGGACUGACACCUUGUGUUCUUCUUUAUCAUGUAAUGAUUUGAAAGCUCUCUGAGUCUGGUGCUGAUUUUGAUGACUGAGAAAUGGCAGAUGAAUGGGAACUUCUAGUCUGAAGAAAACCUCUUAUUCCAUUAUACUGUGUUAUUGUUACUUUUUUUUUUUUUUUUUUUUUUUUUUUUUACAAGUCUGUGUUGUAUCUCAGGAACACAGUUGUAAUAAUUUGAUCAGUCUGUUUCUGAAAGCAUCUAUAUAUUUAAAGUGUUUUUUCCCACUUUUACAUAUGCAGCAUCUCUCAAUAUGUAUACUGUACUGUAUUUAUUAACCCAUUUCUUUAAGCUGUUAAUAUGGAGUUUUUUAGGUUGUCUUUAAGUUUGUGUAUUAUUGAUAAUAAUGCAAUUGUAAAGUUAGUUCUAAUUUAAAAUUGUUAAUAUCUAUAUACUGUACUGUACUUGUAUAUAAUUUCUCAAAUUUGUUGUUUUCUCAAAAUGGUCACACAUAAUGAUCCAUGUAAUUUUCAGAAUACAUUUAAUAGUAGUGGUUGAAGCUCCCAAGUUCUACGAGGGUGCAUAGCUCGGUAUGGCAACUCAUUUAUUAUUUGAGGCUGUGGAUAAAUUGUUAAUUUAUUUUUGUUUAUUGCUUAUUUAAUGUGUAUAAAUAUUUCUAGCCAAUUAUUCAUUUUAAUGUAGAGAUGAACGAGUACAACUUAGUGUGCGAGUAUUUUGUGAGUUGAGUGCAGCGUAGUAUGCAACGAGGCGUGCAUUCCCCCGUGAUAUUUCAGUCACAUUACUGAUAUAGAUAUAGUAUUUUCUUGGGUGCCAGUAUGGAAGAAUCUUUGAUUAUAUAGACCUAGAAAAAAAAUCAUUUGUAUAUAGCAUUU
Non-coding RNA from Procambarus clarkii (red swamp crayfish), 1220 nucleotides. NCBI's taxonomy places the organism in Eukaryota, Metazoa, Arthropoda, Malacostraca, Decapoda, Cambaridae. The record is from RefSeq and is a predicted model, not a curated record.